Drosophila pseudoobscura is the source of this 365-nucleotide long non-coding RNA. RefSeq lists it as uncharacterized. The record is from RefSeq and is a predicted model, not a curated record. The transcript is spliced from 2 exons. NCBI's taxonomy places the organism in Eukaryota, Metazoa, Arthropoda, Insecta, Diptera, Drosophilidae.
UCCGAAUUGCUAUUAAGUCUCUAUUUGGUUUUGGAUUAUUUUUGUCUUCUAGAAAUUCCGUUAAAGCGUCAAUAUCACAGCCUCUUUGCUGAACACCGAAUAGUACCACCGAUGGUAUUUCCCCAGUAACCGAAUGUUUUGAAUUGUUUAUUGCAUAUUCCGCUUUUUUGCUGCUCUAACAUGUUCAAUGUUGUUACUUAGCAUGAACUCGCUGAAUUCCAACGAUGUGAAACAUGAGCCCCUAUCACUGACAAUUCUCCUAGGUCUGCUGUAAUUUUCAAAAUAUUUCGUUAAGCAUGCGCAAACUUCCUUAGUACUAGUUGUGUUUGCAGAAUACAAUUUGACAAACUUUGUGAACCCAUCAA